Molecule: long non-coding RNA, 315 nt
Organism: Marmota flaviventris (yellow-bellied marmot)
Lineage: Eukaryota; Metazoa; Chordata; Mammalia; Rodentia; Sciuridae
Source: RefSeq, a predicted model, not a curated record
UUGGCUACCCAGGACGCUCCAGGGGACUGGAGGAGGCGCUGCCUUCAGGGCUCUCCUGGGAGAUUUAAGGAAGCUGAAAUGACCCAUUUUUCUGAACUCUGACCUCCAUCUUUCGACCUUCAUAAUUCAGGAUCAACAUGAACCUCAGUUGGUCUGCAGUGAUAUCCUGCUAUAAUCCAGAACUACGUUCAUGGACACCAUUACCUGUCCCUAUAAAAAGUAGCUAGAGACUUUCAGGCAUUUCUAUGCUUACGUACAUAACAAAGAUGAAGAUAUGCUUCCGUACCUGCUUCUGAGGAUGAAAACGCAUGAUUU